UGCUCGAGUGGCGAACGGGUGAGUAACACGGUGGGUGAUCUGCCCUGCACUUCGGGAUAAGCUUGGGAAACUGGGUCUAAUACCGGAUAGGACCAUCGUUUAGUGUCGGUGGUGGAAAGUUUUUCGGUGUGGGAUGAGCUCGCGGCCUAUCAGCUUGUUGGUGGGGUAAUGGCCUACCAAGGCGUCGACGGGUAGCCGGCCUGAGAGGGUGUACGGCCACAUUGGGACUGAGAUACGGCCCAG
RNAcentral lists this ribosomal RNA (243 nucleotides) under uncultured Actinomycetales bacterium. RNAcentral describes it as "partial 16S ribosomal RNA". It matches the Rfam family "Bacterial small subunit ribosomal RNA", at positions 88 to 334 of the family's 1533-position model. The record is from RNAcentral. Lineage: Bacteria; Bacillati; Actinomycetota; Actinomycetes; Actinomycetales.